GAGGAGUCCGCGUCCGAUUAGCUAGUUGGUAGGGUAAUGGCCUACCAAGGCUACGAUCGGUAGCCGGCCUGAGAGGGUGAUCGGCCACACUGGAACUGAGACACGGUCCAGACUCCUACGGGAGGCAGCAGUGGGGAAUUUUGCGCAAUGGGCUAACGCCUGACGCAGCAACGCCGCGUGGAGGAUGAAGGUCUUUGGAUUGUAAACUCCUGUCAGCGGGGAAAAAGCGACCGUACCUCAUACGUACGGGAGUUGAUUGUACCCGCAGAGGAAGCCCCGGCUAACUCUGUGCCAGCAGCCGCGGUAAUACAGAGGGGGCAAGCGUUAUUCGGAAUUAUUGGGCGUAAAGGGCGCGUAGGCGGCUUGGCAAGUGGAAGGUGAAAUCCCUCGGCUUAACCGAGGAACUGCCCUCCAAACUGCUUUGCUUGAGGCCGGGAGAGGCGAGUGGAAUUCCCAGUGUAGCGGUGAAAUGCGUAGAUAUUGGGAGG
Molecule: ribosomal RNA, 488 nt
Filed under: uncultured Acidobacteriota bacterium
Lineage: Bacteria; Pseudomonadati; Acidobacteriota
Description: bacterial SSU rRNA
Rfam family: Bacterial small subunit ribosomal RNA
Source: RNAcentral